This is a long non-coding RNA of Antechinus flavipes (yellow-footed antechinus), 4573 nucleotides long. RefSeq lists it as uncharacterized. The transcript has 3 exons. The record is from RefSeq and is a predicted model, not a curated record. NCBI's taxonomy places the organism in Eukaryota, Metazoa, Chordata, Mammalia, Dasyuromorphia, Dasyuridae.
UUCUUGGGUUAGUAGUUUGAGAAUUAUCUAAUCUCCUUUUUGCUAUUCUCCCUAAUUAAAGAAAUGGAUAGUUUUUAUUUUUCUGGUAAUGAAUGAACACGGGCAUCUCGCUGGCACAGUGGAUAGAGUGCUAACCUGAGUUGAGAGGCCCUGAGUUCAAAUCCAGCAUCAGACAUUUGCAUGACUCUCGACAAUUUCCUCAUCCUGUAAAAAUGAGCUGGAGAAGAAAAUGGCAAACUCUUAUUGGUUUUUUUGCCAAGAAAGAGGAUUUUCUUUCUCCUCUCCUAAAGGGCUAUAUUUGUUUCUUUGUUCUGUUAUACUUAAAUUUCCUAUUUCUGGCUGACCUGUAUAAUCAUGCUUCUUCUCUGCAUAUGGCACAGGAAUUUUGACUUGGACAUCUUUCUGCAUGAGAAAGGAAGACCGAGGAAAAGGAAUGGAAGUUUUUCCUAAAAGGCUAUCAAGACAAAAGAAGGGGAAUGGCGCUAGUAGGACACCCACCAAUGGAAAAUCGCGUUCAGAAAAGGUACGAGGCGAAUCUGGGUGGGGGAGGCUGAACUUGAAAGCUAGAAAGGCUCUGCCCCAACUUGGUUUGCCCCUUCUUCUCCACCUACUGAGUCAUCCAGGUUUGGAGUCUAAAUAAACAAGGAAGGCCAUUAUUGGCAGUUGAACAGUGUUUUCUAAACAUUCCAGGCUCCCCCUCAGUACAAGGGCAUUAGAGACCUCAUUUGCAUAAUAGAACUUAGGCUGAAACUUAUACCCAAGAAGGCUUAGAGGGUACCCACUCUCUCCAGCUUUUAUUUUUGUUUCUGCUACUUCUUCAAACUGGAGGAGACUCCACGGCUCAGCCCCAAAUAACCCAACUUUCUCUAUCUGCAAACAUCUGUGAAUCCAGGAGGGGAAUUCAAACCAGAACAGAAGAGGAACUUCUCCAUUCCUACCAAGGCUGGACAGUGCCCAACAGAACCCAGGGAUGAUGGAGGCAGGCAUCCUAACUGACGUUCCAGCAUCUGUGGAAGCAGCAGCGCUAUUAGGAUUUGCCACACUGCAGAAGCACCUUUGACCAGUGAUGGCUAGCACCUUUUCUGUCCCCCUGAUAGUGAGAGACAAAAGAAAGAAAGUAAAUAUAUGCACUUCAUAAUUUCUCCUGUAUGAAGGAAGAUUCAGAGCCUUUGGAAAGUAAAUGGACACCAACUGAGAUAUGUAAUUUCCAAGGAAAGCCAGAGCUGGGAAAUGUUUGGAAUGUCACAUUUUUUAAUGUAAAUCACUAUCACUUUUUUGAUUUUGCUAUGCAUUUUCUCAUUCAAUUUAACUAUUGCUUAAUCACGAUUUUUUAGGUUUCAGCUACUGAAACAACAAUAGAUCUAGAAGCAAUUGUAUCAGCUGAUAGGCUGGGGCUGAGACAUUGAAUUCUCAUGAUUGAUAGAUGCUUUUAAUCAAACAAGUCUAGAAUCUAACAGAAAGAGUCAGAGUACAGAUAAAAGUGAAUAGUGUCUUUUCCUUUGAUCUAAAAAGUCAUUAUACAUCUAGUCCUGGCUAGAGCAGUUCUUAUGUGUGUUUUUGUGAACUGAAUGUUGUUUCUACUGUCAGAAAAAGGUCAGUGGGAGGAGGAACAAGAGAAAAUUUUGGGAUAGAACAGAGAGAAGUAUAAACAAGGAGAUUUAGUAGUAGUCAGAGGUUGAAUCUGGGAGGCUGGGGGAGUACUUUGAGAAGAAAGAAGGAAGGAAAGAAGAAAGGAAGGAGAAGGAAAAAAGAGUGGAAGGAAAGGAGGGAGGAAGAAGGGAAAGAAGGAAAUAAAAAAAGAAAGAGAGGCAGGAAGAAUGGAGGGAGGAAGGAAGAAGACUGUGCAUUCAGAGAUGCCUUCAAAAAGGGAUGCUCCAGUAGGGAUCAGAAGAAAAAGUUAAAUCAUGGUGUUUAGUGAUUCUGUAAUGAAGAGGACAAAGCUACAGAACUGAUAUUCAUGAAUUAUAAGACUGCACAUAUUACUCUCUGAUCAAAAAACCUCAGUGGUUCCCUAUUACCUACUGAAUCAACUACAGACUUCUGUCUACAGGUAGAGCUCUUCAGUUUUUUCUUCCAGAGAUUUCACUCUACUUUUCCUUCCACGUUGCAUCCUAUGAAUCUGCACCACUGGCUGUGGCCUGUACAAACAUUCCAUUUUCAGGACCUACAUGUGCAAGAAUGUUUGUGGCAGCUCUUUUUUAUAUUAGCAAGGAACUGGAAACUGAUGCUCAUCAGCUGGAGAAUGGCUGAAUAAAUUGUGGUAUAUGAAUGUUAUGGACUAUUACUAUUAUAUAAAAAAUGAUCAGCUUUUUCAGAAAGGCCUGGAGAGACUUACAUGAACUGAUGCUGAGUGAGGUGAGUAGAACCAGGAGAACAUUGUACACGGCAACAAGAAGAUUAUGUGAUAAUCAACUGUGAUGGAUGUGGCUCUUUUCAACAAUGGGGUGAUUCAGACCAAUUCUAAUCGAUUGGUGAUUGAGAGAGCCAUCUGUAUACAGAGAGAGUACCACAGGCACUGAGUGUAGAUCAUAACAUAGUAUUUUCACCUUUUUGUUACUGCUUAUUUGCCUUUUGUUUUCUCUCUCAUUUUUUUCUCUUUUUGGUCUGAUUUUUCUUAUGCAGCAGGACAUUGUGAAAAUAUAUAUAUAGAAGAAUUGCACAGAUUUAACCUAUAUUGGAUUACUUGCUAUCUAGGGGUGAGGGAUAGGGGAAGGGAGGGAGAAAAAUUUGGAACACAAGGUUUUGUGAGGGUGAAUAUUAAAAAUUAUCUUUGCAUAUAUUUUGAAAAUAUAAAGCUAUUAUUAAAAAAAAAACCUUGUGUUCCAAAUUUUUCUUCUAUACCUAUUUCCACAUUUAUCAUGCUACAUAAGAAAAAUAAAAUUAAAAGAGGGAAAAUGAAAAAGAAAAAAAAACAAGUAAGCAAAUAAUAAUAAAAAAAGUAAAAAAUAUUAUGAUGUGAUCCAAUUCAGUCUCCAUGGUUCUCUCUCUGGAUACAUUUGGCUCUCUCCAUCACAAGUCUGUUGGAAUUGGCUUGGAUCACCUCACUGCUGAAAAAAGCCUCAUCCAUCAGAAUUGAUCAUCACAUAAUCUUGUUGCCAUGUACAAUGGAACACAUUUUGCAGGGGUGAAUAUUGAAAACUACCUUUGUAUGUAUUUUGAAAAUAAAGAACUAUUAUUAAAGGAAAAAACAAAACAAAACAAAACAAAAAAACCCAAAACAAAAAUUCCAUUUUCUGCCCCCCAUGUUUUGCUGGAAGACUUUCUCCCAUCAUGUUCUUCUCCUGCCAUUCUUGGCUUCCUCUGAGGCUUAGCACAAGAGCUGCUUUCUACACAAUAACUUUUCCGAAUCCCCUCUUCCUGUUGUUGGUACUCUUUCUUCCCUCACUCCACCCCAAGUUAUUUUGUAUUUUUACAGGGACAAGGGAUGGUUCCUGGCCAGUUGAUUUCCUCUACUACCACUAACACCCCUAUCUUCUCCCUUCAGUCAGUUGUUAACAUCAUAGGAGACAGGUGAGAGAUGAGGUGUUAAUGUGUUAAGAGAAGUGCAAAGAUGUAUCACUUUAAAGAUGGCCCGCUCUUCCAUCACGUCUCUGUCCUCAGCUUUCUAUACAAGAGUCUUUUCUCCUUUCAGGUACCUCUUCCAGAAAAGAAUCUGGAAUCCCAUGUCUUUAUUGAAAUUGAAAGUUGAAGGCCAGAAAGUCAGGGUUUCUCCUCAAGUUCCUACCAACUCUUGCCCCUCAUGCAGGCAGAGUAAUCAUUCUCCACCAAUGAGAAGAAUCUUAUACAAAUGGACUUUGAGUCCCUCGUUAUGUGUUUAUAAUCAUGAAUUUGGGAGGGGAGUCUAGUCUCCAGGCCCAUGUUAAUUUCCACAUUGUUUAAGGACUAAGACACAUGGAUUGCCAUAAAAUCAAAAGGAUGUUUGAACCUCCUUGAGUUAUUAGAGAAUUGUGCAGAUGACAACUGAUCGAAUAUAGGGAAUGAGGGGGGAGAAGAAAAUGUGAGAUUGGCUCUGAAGUUGCAAACCUGAAUGAAUAAAAGUAAAUAGCAGUGUCCAUAGAAGCAGUUUCCAUGAAUGUUCCAUUCUGUUUAUUUAAUGAGCUUCACUCAGUGCCUGGGCAAUGGAAACAUGUCAUUUUCCUAUUAGCCUGACCAGGGACAUGUUCAUUCAUACUCAAAGCAGACCCUCUGCGGCCGGCUGCUCUGAAGAAAUGGACCAGCACUGGGGACAGUGGCUGAGAACCCCGACUGAGAACACAGUGAACUUCUCACUGAGGAUGGAAAUUCUACUGCAUUUCAUCCUUUAGACUUGCUCCACUAAAAUCUGAGUGCCCUCCCAUAGGGGGUUCAGAAACUUUAAAUUUCUUCCUAGAGUUUUAGCCAUUACCUCCUUGUUCAGACCCAUAAAGGCCUGCCCUUUGAGACUCAGUAGGGGGUCCUAAAAAAACCCACAAUGAACUCUUAUCCUCCAUGUGGGGACUGUCGGGAGGCCUGAAAGCGUUCUGAAUCCAGCCUGCCCUGACUUUUUUUUCAGAGGGGUUCUUUCCCAGCUCAGCCAUAGUCCAGGACUCAAACC